Molecule: non-coding RNA, 787 nt
Organism: Paramuricea clavata
Lineage: Eukaryota; Metazoa; Cnidaria; Anthozoa; Malacalcyonacea; Plexauridae
Source: the annotation of a GenBank genome assembly
GCCUUUCAGAAGAACUACAUGCUUUUCAAAGGGCCGUGUCGCCAAAUAUUGACAUAAAUAAACACGUUGACAUAAAUACUGAAAGUUUUUACAAAAAUUAAGAAAUGAAAACUGAUUGACUAGAGUCUAGAUCAGGGCCGUAGCUAGAGGGGAGGGGGUGUAUAUUCAUAUAUUCGAUCGUGUUCUGCCCGACGGAUUUCUUUUGAAAGAAAUUUUACGUUUUUACGCUACCACGCCCCCAAUCUCGUGUCUAGCUACGGCCCUAGUCUAGAUAUUCUCUGAAGAACUAGCAGACAUUGAGCUAAAGUUACUGUGAAUAUAGUCAUCCAGUCUCACAUCUUGAUUCAUCAUCUGCCAAAAUGUUGUCAACAAGUUGUCUUCGCACUGCUUGUUCCAAGUUGUCAACAAGUUUGAAACAAACUGUUAACAACUUGUAACAAGCUUGUUGAUAUUAUCAGACUUGUUACAAGGUUGUUCCAACAGGUUCGAUACAGUCAUGAUGACAUGACAUAACAAUAUUGUUACAACUUGUGUCAUCAACCUUGUAACAUUCUUGUUAUAUCAUGACUGUAUCAGAUUUGUUAGAACAAUUUUGCUACAAGUCUGAUAAUGAUAUCAAGCUUGUUACAAGUUGUUAACAGCUUGUUCCGUGUGUAGAUGCUUUGCCUGAGUUUCAUAAACACGUAAAAAUGCACAAGUUGUCACAGGUCUGCAAACAGGUUGUUACAAAGCUGUUCACAAGAAGCUGUCGACAAGUUGUAUUCGCACUGCUUGUUCCCAGUUGUUG